Lactuca sativa (garden lettuce) is the source of this 2101-nucleotide non-coding RNA. The record is from RefSeq and is a predicted model, not a curated record. Lineage: Eukaryota; Viridiplantae; Streptophyta; Magnoliopsida; Asterales; Asteraceae.
UAUUACACUAGGAUCUUACCCUAAUCUCCUAAACACAGCCGCCAUCAAACCAAUUCUCAUUGUCUCCGCCAAAGAUGCAGGGAUCUCCACCAAUGUCUCUCACCGAAGGUCCACAGCUGCCGACUUCCCCCACCAAAGAUGCAGUGAUCUCUCUCGCCUCUCUUUCUCUCUCUCUCUCGCGCGCGCGCGCGAUCGCCAUCAGAAUGAAAUGGAAACCCUAAUUUCAAAUUACCGUGUAUUCGAGAUGCCUACAGCGAGGUAUGUCCCCGUUUACUGUGAUUACAAACUCCUAAACACCUCACGACCACACACACAAAAAUGUACAAAACCACCAUUGACAUCUUCAAAGGAACAUCAUCGCUUUCUUUUCCCAAGUCAUUUAAACUCUGUAAACAUCAUCGAUUUCUUUUCCCAAGUCAUUUAUCCUCUGUAAAUUGUCAAGCACACUGAAGAACUUGAAGGUAAUUAUAAGCCGAUUCUUGAUUUUUUCAGAUACUAUUCAGUCUUUAUAUGCAUAACUUUUUUCUCAAUCCCCGAUUUUUGAGUUUCCUGAUUGUGGGUAUACGUUGAUUGCGGUUGUUGGUAUUAAGGAUCUGCUUAGGCCAGGGGUUAAGGAAGCGGUGGAGAUUUGUUUAGCAGUUGGGAUUACUGUGCUAAAUCAGAUGUAGAAAAACGUGAACUCGCACCGAGAAUUCAGGAGAAUAGGUGGUUAGUUCUCCAAGACAAGUAAUGAAUUACAAUCCUUAAGUACAUUAAAGGUAGUGGCUAGAUCAUCACCAACAGACAAGUUAAAGAUUGUAAAGCAUUUGAGGGGUCUGUCUGAAGUUGUUGCAGUCACAGAUGAUGGGACAAAUGAUGCUCCAUCUUUACAUGAAUCAGAUAUCGGAUUCGCCAUGGGUAUAGCAGGAACAAAGGUUGGUUUGUGCCUCAUAUUCAUGUCAAUUUAGUAUAAAAAACUUAAGUUAAUGAAAAAACUUAAGUUAUUUGUGAGGAGUUCAUCAUGGUUUUCUGGUUGUGGAUAUGGUUCAUUGGUAUGGAACCGUGGGUUUGAUUAUGAUGAUAAAAUGAUAGGGUACAUCAAGAAUUACAGGCGUGUGUUUGAUCUUGAGGUAUACCUGAGGACCCUGCAAGAACAUGCACACUUGAAUAUAAGGAAGGAACAGUCUGUUGGGGCGCUGUGUAUUGUGUAAAAGGAGCUGAGGAGAAAUAAAGAUUGGCAAUGGCGUAUUUAGAGAACAGAGAAUGCGAAUAUGAUCAGAAGACCACUGUAGACUUUCUCAAGGAAGGAGAGAUUUGUGAGGCUACUUUAUCAGGAGUUAUUGUUGUCACAUCAACUCCAGACAAGGAAUCGAAUAAGUAUUACCUUGGGCCUGCACCAUUGGAGGAUAUGCAAAACAAAUUGCGACAGCUACUGGUCCAUGUGGAAACAAUAGAGACUAAAUCGGCGACGCCGAAUAGUAGUUAUUGAGCGUAUGUUAGUAAGUCAUUAAAAUCAAAUUCAGAUGGAUUCGGAAUUGGAGAAUCAAAUUGGUGCAACAUUUGAGGAAGAUCUCGAUAAGAUGCUUCCUAAGUGUGACAUUAUUGUCAUCAAUACCCCUUUAAUAGAAAAAACAAAGGUGAUACUUUACAUAGGUGGCAAACUGAACCUUUCAUAAUGAUAACUGGUAGUAGGAGAUGGGUACCUCCUGCUUUGCCAACAACCAAGAGUCCAGAAAAUGAGGAAACUGGAGCCACAUUUGCUGCUGGAAGAAGUAGGCGUGCUAAGACUGAACGAACACUAACUGAUGCAUAAAGAGAUGAAUUUGAAGAUAUGCUUCGUGCCCUAACAUUAGAAAGAAUUCAAAACAAAUAAGCAAUGGGUUUUGCAUUUGAUAAUGCUGACGCUGCUGGAGACGUAAAUAUGGAUAGUUGAAGUUUUGACCGAGUCUUUGACUCUUAAAGAAACACCAAUGCCCACAAUAGUAGUGCUCAUCUAAAGAAUGCAUCUACUCAAUGUAUCCUCUUAAUACAUGAUAUUGCAAUGUUUACACUGUUAUGAGGAGGAAGAUUUAUAUGAUGGAAUACUUUAGGGUUAAAGAUUUUAUUAAACUGAAUUUGUCUC